This is a long non-coding RNA of Zingiber officinale, 321 nucleotides long. RefSeq lists it as uncharacterized. The record is from RefSeq and is a predicted model, not a curated record. Lineage: Eukaryota; Viridiplantae; Streptophyta; Magnoliopsida; Zingiberales; Zingiberaceae. The transcript is spliced from 4 exons.
AGGAUCUUUCUCACCUAGCCUCCUAAACUCCAAGAAAAACAAAUAAGAGCAAACAAAGGCAGGAAGAAAGGGAUUAUAUUUGUUGCCAUUGAUCAGAGCCGGUCUCUUCUGGAUCAAGGUCCUUUUGACAUUGUUCUUCACAAGUUCACUGGAAAAGAGUGGCAACAUGUCCUGGAGCUCAUGAUAUUUGUAGAUUAUGCUGGAGGAUUUCUUCCAACUGUCAAUCAUAGUCCUUGGAAUGGCAUAUCACUUGCUGAUUUUGUCAUGCCAUUAUUCUUGUUUAUAGUUGGAGUUGCACUUUCCCUUACAUAUAAGGUAAUC